GGAGAGGUGGCAGAGUGGUUGAACGCGGCGGUCUUGAAAACCGCUUUGCCCGCAAGGGCAACGGGGGUUCGAAUCCCUCCCUCUCCGCCA
RNAcentral lists this transfer RNA (90 nucleotides) under Flavobacteriales bacterium. Its description in RNAcentral is "tRNA-Ser". It matches the Rfam family "tRNA". Rfam says of the family: Transfer RNA (tRNA) molecules are approximately 80 nucleotides in length. Their secondary structure includes four short double-helical elements and three loops (D, anti-codon, and T loops). The record is from RNAcentral. Lineage: Bacteria; Pseudomonadati; Bacteroidota; Flavobacteriia; Flavobacteriales.